UGGCCGUGCUUGGAGGAGGGCCCUGAGCGGGAGCACAGAGCGGUGGGCAUCAUGACAAGCGCCAGGAGGAGGAUCAGGGUCACCGCUGCUGGCGCCAUUGAUGCCAUUGCAGUUCUUGAUCCAGCUACUUCUUGUGGCUCUCUCUUUCUCUCGUGAAUGAAGAGAGAGAUUGAUGGUGAGUGAAGUGAUGAGCUUGAUCUGGUUUUAGUUUGUUGGAGUGAUGGAUGGAU
This 230-nucleotide long non-coding RNA is filed under the name Oryza brachyantha (malo sina). RNAcentral's name for it is "long non-coding RNA (OBRA_LNC002148)". The record is from RNAcentral. Lineage: Eukaryota; Viridiplantae; Streptophyta; Magnoliopsida; Poales; Poaceae.